Molecule: ribosomal RNA, 253 nt
Filed under: uncultured bacterium
Lineage: Bacteria
Description: partial 16S ribosomal RNA
Rfam family: Bacterial small subunit ribosomal RNA
Source: RNAcentral
UACGGAGGGUGCAAGCGUUAUCCGGAUUUACUGGGUUUAAAGGGUGUGUAGGCGGGUAUUUAAGUCAGUGGUGAAAUCUCCGGGCUCAACCUGGAAACUGCCAUUGAUACUAUUUAUCUUGGAUCUUGUUGAGGUUGGCGGAAUAUGUCAUGUAGCGGUGAAAUGCAUAGAUAUGACAUAGAACUCCGAUUGCGAAGGCAGCUAACUAAGCAAGUAUCGACGCUGAGGCACGAAAGCGUGGGGAUCAAACAGG